Molecule: long non-coding RNA, 2042 nt
Filed under: Homo sapiens (human)
Lineage: Eukaryota; Metazoa; Chordata; Mammalia; Primates; Hominidae
Description: HSALNT0022774
Source: RNAcentral
UUCUUCCAGGAGCGCGCAUGAGCGGACGCUGCCUACGGGUGGCCGGGCGGGAUGUAACCGGCUGCUGAGCUGGCAGUUCUGUGUCGCUAGGCUUCUGCCCGGCCGCCGCCGCACAUAAGCUGCGAGGAGGAGCUUUACGACUUCCCGGUCUUCGGGGCCGGGCGCAGCAAGGGCCAGACUCUGCGCUAGCAGGCGCUGCGCGCCAACCGGCCGGCACCUGUCGCAGAAGGUGCAACCGAUCGCACUGUCGCGCAGAAGCUCCUCAAUGGCCAGCGCCAGCUGCAGCCCCGGCCGCCCACUCGCCUCAUCUGAGCCUGGGCGAAUCUGGAUUGGGAAAGUUGAUAUUAAUCAACUCAUUAUUCCUCACAGAUUUGUAUUCUCCAGAGUAUCCAGGUCCUUCUCAGAGAAUUAAAAAGCCUGUACAGGUCUACAUAUUGGUAUUUUUAAUUGAUGAUAAGCUGGAAUAAUAUUAAUACACACAAAGCACGUGUUGUAACUUUCAUUAUGCUUCCCUAGAGGUGGAACAAUCCAAAGUUUUAAUCAGAGAAGGUGGUGUUCAGUUGCUGCUUACAAUAGUUGAUACCCCAGUAUUUGGAGAUGCAGUGGAUAACAGUAAUUGCUGGCAGCCUGCUAUCAAUUACAUUGAUAGUAAAUUUGAGGACUACCUAAAUGCAGAAUCGCAAGUGAACAGAUGUCAGAUGCCUGGUAACAGGGUGCAGUGUUGUUUAUACUUCAUUGCUCCUUCAGGACAUGGAGACAGAUCUCAUUAUGUUGCCCAGGGUGAUCCUUGAUCUCCUGGCCUCAAGUGAUCCUCCAACCUUGGUCUCCCAAAGUGCUGGGAUUACAGAUGUGAACUACCACACCCAGUCAACGUGCAGAAGGUUUUCAGUUUGAUGUAGUCUGAUGUAGUCUCAUGUAUUUAUCCUUGUUGUUGUUGCCUGAGCUUUUGGUGUGAUAUCCAAAAAUAUCAUUGCCAAGAUCAAUAUCAAGAAACUUUCCCCCUAUGUUUCUUACAGAAAUUUUAUGGUUUCAGAUUUUUCAUCUAUUUUGAGUAUAUUUUUGUGUAUGAUGUAAGAUAAGGGUCCAGUCUCCCCAGUGUUGGAUAUCCAAUUUUCAUAACACCAUUUAUUGAAGAGAUUAUUCUUUCUCCACUGUGUUUUCUUGAUGUCCUUGUCAAAAAUUAGUUGACUUUUAUAUGCUUGGGUUUAUUUCUGGGCUCUAUUCUGUUUCAUUGCUUUACAUCUCUGUUUUCAUGCCAGUGCCACAGUGUUUUGAUUACUAUAGCUUUGUAAUAUAAUUUGAAAUCAGAAUGUGUAAUACCUAUAACUUUGUUUUUUGCUCUAAAGAUUUAUUUAUUUAUUUAUUUAUUUUUGCCAUUUCAGGUCUUUUGUGGUUUCAUAUGAAUUUCAGAAUUGUUUUUCCUAUUUCUGUGAAAAAUGCCAUUGACAUUUUGAUAGGGAUUGUGUUGAAUCUAUAUAUUGCUUUGGAUAGUAUGGAUGUUUUAACACUAUUAAUUCUCCCAAUCCAUGAACAUGAAAUAUCUUUCCAUUCACUUGUGUCUUCUUCAAUUUCUUUCAUCAAUGUUUUAUAGUUUUCAUUGUGCAGAUCUUUCACUUACCUGGUUAAAUUUAUUCCUACAAUUUCAUUCUUUUUGAUAUUAGGGUAAAUUGAAUUAUUUUCUUGAUUUCUAUAAAUUAUUUAUUAUCAUACUCAUACUUGUCAGGCCUCUGGGCCCAAGCCUGCAUGUAUACAUCCAGAUGGCCUGAAAUAACUGAAGAAUCACAAAAGAAGUGAAAAUGGCCAGUUCCUGCCUUAACUGGUGACAUUACCUUGUGAAAUUCCUUCUCCUGGCUCAGAAGCUCCCCCGCUGAGCACCUUGUGACCCCCGUCCCUGCCCACCAGAGAACAACCCCCUUUGACUGUAAUUGUCCACUACCCACCCAAAUCCUAUAAAACAGCCCCACCCCUGUCUCCCUUCACUGACUCCUUUUUCAGACUCAGCCUGCCUGCACCCAGGUGAAAUAAACAGCCUUGUUGCUCAC